Arachis ipaensis is the source of this 479-nucleotide non-coding RNA. The record is from RefSeq and is a predicted model, not a curated record. NCBI's taxonomy places the organism in Eukaryota, Viridiplantae, Streptophyta, Magnoliopsida, Fabales, Fabaceae.
ACAAAGCCUUGAGCAAAUUGGUAAUAGAGCAGAACGCCUUAGAAUUAAUUCAGAUAUAUAUUUAUAUUUAAGUACUGAUAUUGAGGUGGAAAUCUAGAUUUCUUCUGAUUAGUUUUUCUGCUAGCAUUCUUCUUGCUAUAUUAUUUUCUGUUUUAUACAUGAAUUUUUAUUGAAGUUAUUGUCUGGGUCCUAUUAAGUGAUUAUUUCAUGUAAUAGCCUUAACUUGCGAGAACUGUAUGGUGAAGUCUAGAUACUUGUAUGCUUUUUAUAUCUUAAUUUAGUUUUCAGGACAUAUUGAAGAAAGCUCAGCUUUUUUCCCCUUGUGCUAUGGAUGUUGAUUCAAUACAAACUCUUGAUCCUAUUAACACUUGGUUAGAGCAAAAGGUUAAGUUGAAUGAUGCUGAGCACAAGUUAAAAGAUCAAGGACGUCAACUAAAGGUUCAACAGAAAAGAAUUGGUUCUACUAAAAAGACAAUUCA